GCAUAAUCACUUGUUCCUUAAUUAGGGACUAGUAUGAACGGCUAAACGAGGAUUCAACUGUCUCUUAUUUAUAAUCAGUGAAAUUGACCUUCCAGUGAAGAGGCUGGAAUAACAUAAUAAGACGAGAAGACCCUAUGGAGCUUUAAUUCAUUAGCAUAAUUACUAAAAUUAAACCCUAAUGGUACAAAAACAAUAAUAUAAGCUAAGAAUUUCGGUUGGGGUGACCUCGGAGAAUAAAAAAUCCUCCGAAUGAUUAUAGCAUAGACUAACAAGUCAAAACAACCCAUUAAAUCUCAUUGACCCAAAAUAUUUUGAUCAACGGACCAAGUUACCCUAGGGAUAACAGCGCAAUCCUAUUCAAGAGUUCAUAUCGACAAUAAGGGUUUACGACCUCGAUGUUGGAUCAGGACAUCCCAA
Molecule: ribosomal RNA, 417 nt
Filed under: Grammomys sp.
Lineage: Eukaryota; Metazoa; Chordata; Mammalia; Rodentia; Muridae
Description: partial small subunit ribosomal RNA
Rfam family: Bacterial large subunit ribosomal RNA
Source: RNAcentral